RNAcentral lists this unclassified non-coding RNA (250 nucleotides) under uncultured fungus. RNAcentral's name for it is "partial contains 5.8S ribosomal RNA, internal transcribed spacer 2, and large subunit ribosomal RNA". Lineage: Eukaryota; Fungi. RNAcentral also lists the same sequence under 1 other name. The record is from RNAcentral.
AACGCACAUUGCGCCCGCCAGCAUUCUGGCGGGCAUGCCUGUUCGAGCGUCAUUUCAACCCUCAAGCUCUGCUUGGUGUUGGGGCCCUACGGUUGACGUAGGCCCUCAAAGGUAGUGGCGGACCCUCCCGGAGCCUCCUUUGCGUAGUAACUAACGUCUCGCAUCGGGAUCCGGAGGGACUCUUGCCGUAAAACCCCCCAAAUUUUCAAUGGUUGACCUCGGAUCAGGUAGGAAUACCCGCUGAACUUAA